This is a long non-coding RNA of Galeopterus variegatus (Sunda flying lemur), 574 nucleotides long. RefSeq lists it as uncharacterized. Lineage: Eukaryota; Metazoa; Chordata; Mammalia; Dermoptera; Cynocephalidae. The record is from RefSeq and is a predicted model, not a curated record. The transcript is spliced from 3 exons.
CUGUCACGUGGGACAGCAUCAGUCAUGUUCAGAUACGCUUCGUGUUCUUUCCAGAGUGACUUCUCUUGUGUUUCUUUGUGUGUGUCCGUCUGUCUGUCGGUUCUUGUGGGAGCAGUCAGAAGGUCAGUUUGAAAGAUCGUGUCUUCUCCAGCCCCCGAGGCGUGGCUGCCAAGGGGAAGGGGUCCCCCCAGGCCCAGCCUGUCCGGCGGUCACCCAGUGCUGACCAGAGCCUCGAUGACAGCCCAAGCAAGGUGCCCAAGAGCUGGAGCUUUGGAGACCGCAGCCGGGCGCGCCAGGCCUUCCGGAUCAAGGGUGCCGCGUCCCGGCAGAACUCAGAAGAAGCAAGUCUCCCUGGGGAGGACGUCGCAGAUGACAAUAAGAGCUGCAACUGUGAGUUCGUGGCCGAGGACCUGACCCCGGGCCUCAAAGUCAGCAUCCGAGCCGUGUGUGUCAUGCGGUUCCUGGUAUCCAAACGGAAAUUCAAGGAGAGUCUGCGGCCGUACGAUGUGAUGGACGUGAUCGAGCAGUAUUCUGCUGGCCACCUGGACAUGCUGUCCCGGAUCAAGAGCCUGCA